UGGCGACCAUAGCAAGAGUGAACCACCUGAUCCCUUCCCGAACUCAGAAGUGAAACCUCUUAGCGCUGAUGGUAGUGUGGGAUUACCCAUGUAGAGUAAGUCAUCGCCAGCUC
Molecule: ribosomal RNA, 113 nt
Filed under: Acinetobacter baumannii 466760
Lineage: Bacteria; Pseudomonadati; Pseudomonadota; Gammaproteobacteria; Moraxellales; Moraxellaceae
Source: RNAcentral